Molecule: ribosomal RNA, 119 nt
Filed under: Pteropus alecto (black flying fox)
Lineage: Eukaryota; Metazoa; Chordata; Mammalia; Chiroptera; Pteropodidae
Source: RNAcentral
GUCUACAGCCAUGCAAAGCUGAACAAGCCCGAUCCCAUCUGAUCUCGGAAGCUAAGCAGGGUCGAGCCUGGUUAGUAUUUGGAUGGGAGACCGCCUAGGAAGAUCGGGUGCUGUAGGCG